CCUACGGGAGGCAGCAGUGGGGAAUAUUGCGCAAUGGGCGAAAGCCUGACGCAGCAACGCCGCGUGAGGGAUGACGGCCUUCGGGUUGUAAACCUCUUUCAGCAGGGAAGAAGCGAAAGUGACGGUACCUGCAGAAGAAGCACCGGCUAACUACGUGCCAGCAGCCGCGGUAAUACGUAGGGUGCAAGCGUUGUCCGGAUUUAUUGGGCGUAAAGAGCUCGUAGGCGGUUAGUCACGUCGGAUGUGAAAUCCCGGAGCUUAACUCCGGGCCUGCAUUCGAUACGGGCUGACUCGAGUAUUGUAGGGGAGACUGGAACUCCUGGUGUAGCGGUGAAAUGCGCAGAUAUCAGGAAGAACACCGGUGGCGAAGGCGGGUCUCUGGGCAAUUACUGACGCUGAGGAGCGAAAGCGUGGGGAGCAAACAGGAUUAGAUACCCUGGUAGUCCACGCCGUAAACGGUGGGCGCUAGGUGUGGGGACCCUUCCACGGUCUCCGUGCCGCNGCUACGCAUAGCGCCCGCCGUCGGGAGGUACGGCCGCGACGGACGUAAACGUACGAACGGAAGUAAGUACGGCGUUGAGACGUUGCCGACGGCGACGACGAGGGAGGAGG
This 612-nucleotide ribosomal RNA is filed under the name uncultured bacterium. RNAcentral's name for it is "bacterial SSU rRNA". The stretch from base 1 to 521 matches the Rfam family "Bacterial small subunit ribosomal RNA", at positions 338 to 873 of the family's 1533-position model. The record is from RNAcentral.